Molecule: long non-coding RNA, 719 nt
Organism: Cydia splendana
Lineage: Eukaryota; Metazoa; Arthropoda; Insecta; Lepidoptera; Tortricidae
Exons: 2
Source: RefSeq, a predicted model, not a curated record
GCAUGGGUCUUUUGAAAGGAAAGGAAUGAAAAUAAAUGUAAGCAAGACGAAAGUAAUGGUAUUUGAAAAGGAAGAAAAUAUGACAAACUGUGAAAUUUCGAUUGGUCAAGAAAGAGUGGAACAAGUGGAAAGAGUUUGUGUAUCUGGGAACCUUGUUCACUAGGGACGGUAAGCAUGAUAAAGACAUUGAAAGGAGAGUGAAUGCUGGAAAUCGUGUGAAUGGGGCACUUAACGCUUUUAUGAGCAGCCAGAAGGUGUCGCAAAAAGCAAGGUUGGCUGUUAAUAGAGGGGUGUUGGUGCCUACACUUAUGUAUGGUAGCGAAAGUUGGGUAUGGCAGAAGAGGCAUCAGAGCCAAGUGAAUGCAGUGGAAAUGAGAGCGUUGAGAAGUGUGUGUGGUGUGAGAUUGCAAGAUAGAAUUAGGAACAGUGUGAUAAGGGAAAAGUGUGGACUGAAUGUAGAUGUAGUGACAAAAAUUGAGAAAGGCUAACAAAGAGAGUGUAUAAGGGAGAAGUGGAAGUGGGAGUUGGAAGGGGUAGACCUCGGCGGACUUUCUCUGAUCAUAUCGGGGAAAUCCUGAAGAAAGGCCAGGUCAAGAGCACCCUAAACCGACGAGCGUGUAUGAGGAAUGUUAUGAAAGUGAAGGAAGCGAAAGAGGUAUGUCAGGAUCGUAGCAAGUGGAAAUCCGUGGUCUCUGCCUACCCCUCCGGGAAAUAGGCGU